UAAUAGGGUUGGGUGAAGAGACGUAAGAAUCUUGGACUCUUCAAGAUAUGUCACCCUUCUACAAAUUCCACACUCCAAAAGAAACAAGGGAUGCCCCUUCUUUUAUUUUUCUAUGUAAAAUCAGAUCUUAGUUUGAUUUUCCAUGAUAAAAAUCCUCCUCAAAGUAUUGCACACAUAAGGAGAAAAAAUAAGUUGGCAUAUGGAGUGAUUUUGAUAAGAAUAGAUUCUCUUGAUAAGAAAUAUUUUGAAAUUUAUCAAAAUCAAAUUAGAUUUGGCAUGG
RNAcentral lists this long non-coding RNA (280 nucleotides) under Elaeis guineensis (African oil palm). RNAcentral describes it as "long non-coding RNA (EGUI_LNC055561)". The record is from RNAcentral. Lineage: Eukaryota; Viridiplantae; Streptophyta; Magnoliopsida; Arecales; Arecaceae.